Molecule: long non-coding RNA, 334 nt
Organism: Scophthalmus maximus (turbot)
Lineage: Eukaryota; Metazoa; Chordata; Actinopteri; Pleuronectiformes; Scophthalmidae
Exons: 3
Source: RefSeq, a predicted model, not a curated record
ACCACGACCAGCAGAAGGGUGAGCUCUGUGACAGAAAUGGGUUCCGCAGUCUUCAUUCUGCCGCUCGCACGAUUCCGCACGGACACAACUCCCUGGCUGCUACACAGUCUGUGCCGGUGGCUAGAUUCCCAUGUCAGCAGCCCCAGCUCCAGUGUGCUGUUCCUUGUGUGUCCACCAGGUGACACUGUCCUGCAGGAUCACUUGCCAGGCAAAAAAUGUCUCCUUCCUGUGCCAAUGAUCACUGAGUCAGCAACAUGAGUCUGGAUGACUCUUUGUACUGAUACUCUGCCUCCCUCUCCUGGCUCAGGAGUGAACUGCUCCUCAUGACGAAUCA